Molecule: transfer RNA, 72 nt
Filed under: Pseudomonadota bacterium
Lineage: Bacteria; Pseudomonadati; Pseudomonadota
Also listed under: 1 other name
Description: tRNA-Arg
Rfam family: tRNA
About the family: Transfer RNA (tRNA) molecules are approximately 80 nucleotides in length. Their secondary structure includes four short double-helical elements and three loops (D, anti-codon, and T loops). Further hydrogen bonds mediate the characteristic L-shaped molecular structure. tRNAs have two regions of fundamental functional importance: the anti-codon, which is responsible for specific mRNA codon recognition, and the 3' end, to which the tRNAs corresponding amino acid is attached (by aminoacyl-tRNA synthetases). tRNAs cope with the degeneracy of the genetic code in two manners: having more than one tRNA (with a specific anti-codon) for a particular amino acid; and 'wobble' base-pairing, i.e. permitting non-standard base-pairing at the 3rd anti-codon position.
Source: RNAcentral
GCUCUCGUAGUCCAAUGGAUAGAACAUCUCCCUCCGAAGGAGAAGGUGCAGGUUCGAUUCCUGCCGAGAGCA